UACGUAGGUGGCGAGCGUUAUCCGGAAUUACUGGGCGUAAAGCGCGUGUAGGCGGCACUGUAAGUCAGAUGUGAAAUCCCCGGGCUCAACCGGGGGCGUGCAUCUGAAACUGCAGUGCUUGAGUGAUAGAGAGGAAAGCGGAAUUCCUAGUGUAGCGGUAAAAUGCGUAGAUAUUAGGAGGAAUACCGGUGGCGAAGGCGGCUUUCUGGAAUCUUACUGACGCUGAGGUACGAAAGCGUGGGGAGCAAACAGG
This 253-nucleotide ribosomal RNA is filed under the name uncultured bacterium. RNAcentral describes it as "partial 16S ribosomal RNA". It matches the Rfam family "Bacterial small subunit ribosomal RNA", at positions 524 to 776 of the family's 1533-position model. The record is from RNAcentral.